This 767-nucleotide ribosomal RNA is filed under the name uncultured Pseudomonas sp. RNAcentral's name for it is "bacterial SSU rRNA". It matches the Rfam family "Bacterial small subunit ribosomal RNA", at positions 8 to 770 of the family's 1533-position model. The record is from RNAcentral. Lineage: Bacteria; Pseudomonadati; Pseudomonadota; Gammaproteobacteria; Pseudomonadales; Pseudomonadaceae.
AGAGUUUGAUCCUGGCUCAGAUUGAACGCUGGCGGCAGGCCUAACACAUGCAAGUCGAGCGGAUGAUAGGAGCUUGCUCCUGGAUUCAGCGGCGGACGGGUGAGUAAUGCCUAGGAAUCUGCCUGGUAGUGGGGGACAACGUUUCGAAAGGAACGCUAAUACCGCAUACGUCCUACGGGAGAAAGCAGGGGACCUUAGGGCCUUGCGCUAUCAGAUGAGCCUAGGUCGGAUUAGCUAGUUGGUGAGGUAAUGGCUCACCAAGGCGACGAUCCGUAACUGGUCUGAGAGGAUGAUCAGUCACACUGGAACUGAGACACGGUCCAGACUCCUACGGGAGGCAGCAGUGGGGAAUAUUGGACAAUGGGCGAAAGCCUGAUCCAGCCAUGCCGCGUGUGUGAAGAAGGUCUUCGGAUUGUAAAGCACUUUAAGUUGGGAGGAAGGGUUGUAGAUUAAUACUCUGCAAUUUUGACGUUACCGACAGAAUAAGCACCGGCUAACUCUGUGCCAGCAGCCGCGGUAAUACAGAGGGUGCAAGCGUUAAUCGGAAUUACUGGGCGUAAAGCGCGCGUAGGUGGUUUGUUAAGUUGGAUGUGAAAUCCCCGGGCUCAACCUGGGAACUGCAUCCAAAACUGGCAAGCUAGAGUAUGGUAGAGGGUGGUGGGAUUUCCUGUGUAGCGGUGAAAUGCGUAAAUAUAGGAAGGAACACCAGUGGCGAAAGCGACCACCUGGACUGAUACUGACACUGAGGUGCGAAAGCGUGGGGAGCU